GCCUUCGUAGUGUAGUGAUCAGCACGUUCGACGCGCAUUCGAGAGGUCCGGGGUUCAAGUCCCGGCGAAGGCU
This 73-nucleotide transfer RNA is filed under the name Stegodyphus dumicola. RNAcentral's name for it is "tRNA-Ala". It matches the Rfam family "tRNA". Rfam says of the family: Transfer RNA (tRNA) molecules are approximately 80 nucleotides in length. Their secondary structure includes four short double-helical elements and three loops (D, anti-codon, and T loops). The record is from RNAcentral. Lineage: Eukaryota; Metazoa; Arthropoda; Arachnida; Araneae; Eresidae.